UACGUAGGUCCCGAGCGUUGUCCGGAUUUAUUGGGCGUAAAGCGAGCGCAGGUGGUUUAUUAAGUCUGGUGUAAAAGGCAGUGGCUCAACCAUUGUAUGCGUUGGAAACUGGUAGACUUGAGUGCAGGAGAGGAGAGUGGAAUUCCAUGUGUAGCGGUGAAAUGCGCAGAUAUAUGGAGGAACACCGGUGGCGAAAGCGGCUCUCUGGCCUGUAACUGACACUGAGGCUCGAAAGCGUGGGGAGCAAACAGG
Molecule: ribosomal RNA, 252 nt
Filed under: uncultured bacterium
Lineage: Bacteria
Description: partial 16S ribosomal RNA
Rfam family: Bacterial small subunit ribosomal RNA
Source: RNAcentral